Long non-coding RNA from Taeniopygia guttata (zebra finch), 7314 nucleotides. RefSeq lists it as uncharacterized. The record is from RefSeq and is a predicted model, not a curated record. Lineage: Eukaryota; Metazoa; Chordata; Aves; Passeriformes; Estrildidae.
GCUGGUGGGGACGCUGCCAUUUGCCUCCCAGUCUGUGCAGUCUGCGUUCGUAUGCAAUUGCCUGCUGCUUACACGUGAAGGUCACAAGGUGUGUGGUGAGAAAAGUUACCCAGACGUGGCAGUGAGGACUCCAGGACUGGCCGGACCAAGAAUCAAGGGGCAGGGCAGGUGACAUCUCACCCCGUGCAGACUGCAAGUGAUGGCCAGAGGAAAGCUUAAAGUCUUGUCUCUCCUGGCUUUUCCCAACCCUGGCAGGCCAUCAAGGAAUGUGUACCUAUCAUCUCAUCCAUGUGUCCACUCCACUUCUCCAUCUUGUCCCAGUGCCUUUUCCUGGUUCUGCACCAGCCCAAGGAAACACCUUUGAUUGCCCUGCUGUGAAUGUUGGCAGGACUUUACUACUGUUGCUACAAGGCUGAGCAGGCAAAAUGCAGAAACUAUUUCCCUGACCUUCACAAGGCCACUGCUACACAGGGCAGACAAAACUAGAUCCAUUGUACUUUGUCAGAGCAGGCAGGACUUGGAAAAGCACCUGGUAAACACAUCAUCAGUGCUGCAACCAAUGCUGGCUGAUGAGCAGAGACCGGCUGUCAAACAUGGAAAGGCCAAGCUGCUAGACACUGUCCCUAUCAGAACUGGGGUUUUGGGAAGGGACAAAGCAGAGGAGUUGCCAUGAAAAAUUAAAUAGGUAGUGCUAAAAUUGAAAGGAGAAUGAGACUGAGAAAAGCCUGGGUCAGCCAAGUUCACAGUGUAGAAAUAUAUCCAUUUCAAUGUAAAGUCUAGUGGUCUGAGUUUCCACUCAAAACUUUUUAGUUUUAGUGCAAGUGGUUUUAUUUUCAAACACAAAACAUAGACGCUGCUGCUUCUGUGCUCUGCGCUUGAACAACAGCAUCUCUUUUGCGACAAGUCUUAGGCUUCAGUAUACUUGUUGCAGCUAAUUCGCAUUUUCACAGUCCAAAGUCUUAGAAAAUUUAUUAAAUGUAUUAAAAUUUGGUCAGAUACAUGUACAUUAGCAGGCUUAAAACCAGGGAGGAACAUUUACAGUCAGAAUUCACUGUCUUUACUUCAUCCACAAUAACCAUUAUUUUGAUAAAAAUUACUGAUGAGGGAGUAUAAAACAUGAAAGAAAUAUAGUUUAAAUUAGGAAGCCAACUUUGGAAACAUUGUAUAGGUUCAAUGCUUAUGCCAGUUUCUAAACUUACUCCUUUCAUUAAUGUGACAGUGAUAAUUUUCACCGACUGCAAAUAUAAUUCCAUGAGCAUUAUCUGUUAGCAGUGAAAUAGUAUAGUUAUUUGUUAUGGGUUUUUUCCCCUCAAGUGUUAAAAUUAUCUGGAUCACUUCACUGUUUCAUGAGGCACCAUGGUUCUUUGUCUGAGAAAGCAUCCUUUGUGAAAGACAAGGCAUUGUGACACAAAGCUGGAAGAAUGGAUCAGCUUCUUAAUGUGAUUUUGUUGCUACAGAAGAUUUUGUGGGGAAUACUUUCUUAGUAGCAGGAACAUUUUACAGCAUGUUCUUUGAAUUGCAUUUUAAAUUUUUUUGGUACUAUUUUCUCCAUUACUUUAGUCAAGUGGCAUCUCCAUUGAGGAUUUCAUUACCUCAUAACUGCUGAAGUCCCAUCACAUGUACUCAAACUACUUCUGUUAAUGUGUCACUGUGCAUGAAAAAGAGAACCUGACUACUGUGCUCAAAAAUUCUCCCUGAACUCGGUGCAAAUGUCACAGUAAAAUACAGUAAAAUGCAAAUCCAAGUAUGUCUUCUAAGGAUUUACUGGGACAUCUUUGGAGACAGCACUGAAAUGCUGUCUUGUCACUUAAGGUGCUUCUCAAACUCAUGCACCCAAAUGAAAUAUUUAAUCCCCAGGGUUUUUAAACUUAACUUGUUAGAUGUUGCUUUUUUUUUACCCCAAAAAUAGCACACUGAACCUCACUGCCUCAAAAACUCUUGCUAAAUAUAUUUAAUGCUGCCUUGUUUUGCUCCUCUAGUUCAAGUACAUGUCAAAAAAUUAGCACCAGAACUCUUUUUCAAGCCUGAAAAAACCCCUCUCAAAUCUGAACACAAGUAACUGGCCUCUUUCCUAAUAGAGCAUAACAAACAACAUCUUUUACAAAAAUAAAUCUGUUUCCUGAAUGACUCAAAGGAUGACACGUAACUUCCCUCAAUUUUGUUGGCACACAACCAUCUCACUGAAUCCUACAUAGUUUAAAGAGUUUUAUUCAGUUGUACAAUUGAUCUUGAAAAACUGAAAUUCAUUAUUUUCUCAGAAAGUGCAAAAGUCAACUGAUCUACAGAAUAAUUUAGUGUUUACAUUUUACCUUAGAAGAACUUUUUAUUACAUUUACCUAUUCCACUGCUCUUUCUUUCCUCUGUUCUUAGUAUGGAAAGUCAUGUAAAUUUACUCUGCAGUGGUUCACAACUGUGGAACAUGCAUUUACAACAAAAAAAUGGAAAUUCUUUUCUUAAUUAAAUUAGGAAAAAAAUCCAACAUAAGAAAGACUGACAAAUUAGAGCAUAUAAUGCUCUUAUUCCUGCCCCAUCCUUCUAAAACUGCAAAAUUCCAGAAGCAAAGUCCAAGCCACAACACAAAUCUCCACAAUUCAGUGUCCAAUAAUAAUCUAAUCCAGUCUCUAACCAUAGUGUCUCUCGCUUUAAUCUAAACAGUGAAAUCUCUAAUGCUUUCACUAAAACAUUUUUUAGUCUUAUCAUCCAUAUAGAUUUCCUAAAAACACAGUGGAAUAAGUUUUUGUCACUUGGGUGCUAUUGAUUGAAAAAAUUAGAAGAUAACUUCAUAGCCUGGAACUAAGUGAAAUGUUACCAAAAAAGUACAUACUUUAUAAUUUUCAAAAAUAUUUUAGUAUGUAAACUGUGAGAACAUUUUAGCUCUCAAAACCCCUAGAAUAAUAAAUUUACUGGCACUUUUAGAAAACACUGCCACUUUGUGGGAAGUGUGUGGGUUAUUUGUCCAGCAGUAACUCUACCUUCAUCUUUGAUUUUCCAAUGGCAAAAUUCUCCUGGUUACAGAGUGAAAGAAAAAUUCCUUUUGGAGCUGUUCCUCAGCUAGUCUUCAUUAGCCAAACUAUGUGGCUGUUCAGUUAGCUCCCUAGUAAAACCCUAGGAUGCAGGAGAACUGAAGUCAGCAUAAAGGAGCUCAGACACCUCAUGAACAGGUUCUUGGAAGGGACUGGACUGCAGAUCUGUAAAGGACCAAAGCCACAGGGUUGGCCGCUUGCCAACCAACUUUAACUUGUCUCUUGCCAACCAACUUUCUUGUCUUGGGAAUUGGUAUUGCCAGGAGGUUCAGAGCACGGCAGUUUGAUUCUCUAGAUGUCCAGCAGACAGUUCUGCUGAGUGAAAUGUACUGUAUUAGCUCAGAAGAACCCAGAGUGGAGCAGUUCCAUCUGGUUUCUGUUGUCACAGGCAAAUCCACCACAGUUUAGUUAAAAGUAUUCCUGUAACAUCACUUUCCCCCUACAAUUUCACACAGAACACCAAUAUUCCUGUCUCCUUAUCAGCACCCCACCACUUCCACUUAAUCCAAGCAGAGUUAACUUGAAAAUAUAUUUGGGCAAGCAUUACUACAAGAUCCAGUUAUUAAAAAAAUAAUCGGGAAAUGCAGUUGUUCAACCAGUAUCAACAGCCAUGAAAACCUUAAGCAUUCAGAUGUUGAUACUCAAAGAUGGUGAUGCUCUAGCAGUCCAAAUGACUUGCACCUGCAACACAGUGCCUCAGAGGGCACAAUCGGUUCUUGCAUUCAAGCCAAAUGCACAACCCUGCCUUCUUCUCAUAAAGAUUCACCUAAGAGAAAAUUGUAUUCUCUCUUAGUCACUGUGCAUCAGGGCAAGGGUAAGGCUAUCCACAGCAUGUAUUAAGACAAGAUUUGGUACACAUGGGAAGAAAAAACAAAGCAGCUCAUCAUAGACAGAUUCUAUGAUAAAUAGAAAUGUUCUUUGGAGUUAUCUGACAGAGGUAUUGGGAGAUAAGGCAAGACGGGGUGCUAGGGGAUGUUUGUAGACAGAAAAAGUCAAAUGCCACAGAGGUGGCCAAAAGGCUGUGGAUGUUACUAGCAGAAGAAAGAGUAGCUCAUUAGCAGACUGACUGGGGAACAGGGCCCUGCAGAAGUCAGUGGAUCCAGAAGAGGGCCACAAAAAUGGUCAGAGGGCUUAAGCCCCUCUCCUAUGAAGAGAGUUGGGGUUGUUCAGCCUAGAGAAGGCUCUGAGGAGAGCUUCUAGUGGCCUUUUAACAAUUAAAGGAGGCCUACAAGAGAGACAGACAUUCGGGCCUGUUAUGAUAGGAUGAGGGCCAAUGGUUUGAAACUGCAAGAGGGCAGAUUUAGACUGGACAUGAGGAUGAAACAGUUGGAUUCAGUGAUCCAAGAGGUCUUUUCCAACUUUAACAGUUCUAAGAUUCUAUGAAAUUCUAUAUAAGGGUAGUGGACACUGGAACAGGUUGUCCCCAUCCCUGGAAGUGUUCAAGGCCAGGAUGCAUGGUGCUUUGAGCAAUCUAGUCUAGUGGGAAGUAUCCUUGCCCAUUGCAGGGGUUGGAUCUAUAUGAUAUUUAAGACUCCUUCCAACCCAAACCAUUCUGUGAUUCUAAGUACCAAGAAAGGUUAAGUUUUCAAAUCAGAGGCAAGAUAGAGCCUGGAGUAAAAUUUUUUGAGAAAGAGACUCUAAAUGCUAAUUUCCAGCUCUCGUAAUUAGUAAACUCAUUGCAUUAUCCAAACUUUAUCUUUUACUGGUGCUCCUUAUAUUUUCUCUGCAGUGUGUCAGUUAAUCUACUUCAUGCUAAAAACAUUUCAGAAUUUAAACAUGAAAAGAAUGGCAAUUAGUUUCUCAUUUGGGAUAAUGUUCUGGGUUAUCUGUACAUCCACAUAAAUGCCACAGUAGUUUAUAACAGAAGAUGACAAUUAAAAACCUUACACUUUAAAAAAUAUCAUUGAGAAAUCAGUUCUGAAAUAGACCAAAACUUCUCCUGAUUUCACAAUUUUAAGCAUUAAUAAAUUAAUAAUUUAUCCAGUAGUAUUUAAAACUGAGAUAAGUUUACUUGAAUAUCUGAAGUCUGUUUCUUUCAAAAGAAAAAACACUUUGUUCAACCAUACUUUAACUUUCAACCUAAAACUGAUCCAUCAUGAAUCGAAUACUAAUUUCCAAGUAUCCAUUAUUGCAUUAUAGGACAUGAAGAUCCAUGACUGGGGUUCAUUACAAUACAUAUUUCCAUACAGCAUUUUAAAAACCAAAACACUAGUAAAUUAAAUAUUACAAUAAAUUAUUAAUUGUCAAAUGCAUAGGCCAGAAAGUAGUAAGCAUGGAAACAAAGGGUUAAUUGCAAAAAGAUUAGCAAACAGCAAGAUAUUGCAGCUACCACAAAUCCCAGAGACUGAAUAUAACGGAGAACACUCCACUGUAUAAUAAAAAUGUAAAAGAUCCACAAACUAUUUGUAAUCAUAUACAGUGUUCUAGGUCCAUACGACAAUCUGUAUAAAACACUAACAAAUAAUAGGAUAUUGCAAUUGUUUUCUAUAAUAGAAACUUACCAUUUAUUUUUAAAAAUACAUCCAAAAUAGAGUUUUCUAAUUUAGCCUGGUUUCAAGACAUUUAAAGUGAUUUUUUUAUACAACAACAAGACAACAGUGAUACUGUAUUGCUUACACUGAAACUGAUGUACUAGCAAACCACAAAGGCUGAACAAAAUGCACAGGACCAGUUUCAAAAACAACAGACUUUCACUGACCCUGAAGAUCACACAACAAGAAUAAAUGUAUAGACAGAUAGGUUUGUAACUACAGAAGGUAUUGCAAUGAAGGUACUCUUGAAAAAAGUUUAAAAUAUAACACUUAUUUGCACUAGGAUCUUUAGCAGUAUGAAACAAGCAACCUAAACCCACAUACACAUGUGCAACAUACAGUCUCAUGAAAAAUAUUUGAACUAGUAAGCUUAUUAUGUGUAACAGUACUAUCAUCUUUAAAUUAUAGGAUUCUAAAACAUAUAAAACUGUUUUUCCUUUCAUGUGAUUUAUAUUAAAAUGAUUUUUCUUGCUUUCAACAUUGAAAAUUUAAAGCUGUUGAAACUAAACUUCUCCUUUCAUUGGCAAAGAGUUUUUGGUUGGUAAACUCCACAAUUUGGUUAAAUCCUGACUGGCUCUGAAAGCUCUCAAGGCUUGUAAAGAUCAAAAAGCUGACAAGUAAUUUAAAGUUUUAAAGAAAUCAAAAAAACAAUGAAAUAGUUUAACAUCCGUGGUGGAUUAAGCUUCAAUACUCACAUUUUUGUCAUCAUACUGACAGUGGUACUGACAGAACCCAGUACUGUUAGUCAGUCUCUCAUUCAGUACCAAGGAAUAUCCAUUCAUAAGACUAUAAAUGACAAUAAAUUACACAGGUGGUAAUGUGAGAUUAUGUAAUCACAAAAAAUGACUGUUAGAAACACUAAGGGUCUCAGUUGAAGGUAAGUUGAUAUAUUUCAUUUAACUUAGAAGCAGUUAUCUUAAAGUAACUGAAACAACAAACCCAGAACUUCAUGGUUUGGUUUUUUCCAUGAGCUGUUGCAUUGUUCUUAGAGGACUGUAAUGGUAAAUAUGGAUGCAUAAGGAAAAAACAUGUUGAUUCCUGUAUUUACCUAUUUUAAAGCUCCCAUUCCUGAGAAAAGUCUGUUAUGCCUCAUUCCUUAUCAAAAGGAUAUAUAGAAUUUAUAGUUUAAGAAUUAUGAAUGAAAUAAUUUGAAAUAAUUAAUGAAGAUCUUGCUGAGCAAAGUGAGCAACACUGACACAACAAUCCUGUAUGGGAUGCAUCUUUUAGAUCAUCAUAAAGACAAAACAGAUUACUUGACAGGCAGCAUAGAUCAGCUGCACUCCACCUUUACAUCAGUCUUGAAAAUUUAUUAUCAUAAAACUGUAAAACCUUGGGGGAAGAAAGGUCACUUACCAGUAGCCAGAGCUGUUUGCUACGUGUAGUAUGUAUGGACUUUGGCUCUUUAGAGGUCCAAAUGUCAGAGGUAUCCAACAUCUUAAAUUGCAGGGGUUUUUUGUCCCUCACAAUAUACAAACACCUGAAUUUAAACAACCUCAUGUGAAACAUGACCAAGGUUUCUGUGCUUAUGAGUUAACAUCCUAAGCACAAAGUCUUGACCCAGCAGUCUGUGGUAGUUGCACUCCAUAUGUAACUGAAGUUAACUUGCAUUCAAACACACUAGAGCACAAAGAGGAAACAAAGAGAGGAAUCCAGAGAAAAUUGGGUUCUGAGGACAUCUGCUCUGAUUAAAAUUAAAAAAAAAAAAAAAAAAAAAAAAAAAAAAAAAACCACCACAUACUAGCUAUGGAAAGGCAGCUAAA